RNAcentral lists this long non-coding RNA (943 nucleotides) under Rattus norvegicus (Norway rat). RNAcentral describes it as "long non-coding RNA NONRATT003752". The record is from RNAcentral. Lineage: Eukaryota; Metazoa; Chordata; Mammalia; Rodentia; Muridae.
AAAGAACAUUGUGAGUCAUGCACGAUCCGGUUAUUUAUUUUGGAAUCUUUGUUCAGAAGACGGUCAGUAUCAGAGCCUGUCUGGGAACCCAGGUUUUUCAUUGUCCCCUUAGGAAGCCACUGUAGGUUGCAUAAUGUGAGGUUAAAUCAGAGGAGGCACAGGGUAUAACUAGGGCAAUGCCAUCUCAGAGACUCGGGGACAGUGGCCUAUCAACAGAAUAGCCGAUUCCUGAUGACCGUGUGGGGGUCCGGGCCACACAGGGACUGGGUGUCUGUCCCGUGCGCUCCUCCAGGGUUCUCUGGCACCGGUGCAGCAUAUUUUGGACUUUAGCCUCUGGCACACCCCCAGAGCUGGAACAGGAUGCUUAGUAACUGCUGGAGCACCAGGUGCCUUCUGGGUCCUGAGGGGAUUAAACAGCUCCAGGGAAGCUGAGGUCAGAUUUCUGACAGACUCCAAGCUGAAGACAGACAACAGGAAACAGAGCAAGGACACACACAGCGUUUUUUUAGGGAAAAUGAAAAGAACACUCUAUCUGUGUGAGUCCAGAGAAGGCGGUUUCUGGAUCAGCAACUAGUUACUGCUUUCGACUGGUGGGCAGGUGAAGCGGGUGCACCUUGCUUGAGUGUGUGCACGCACAUGGCUUGCACCUUGGAAUGGUUGCCGUUUUUCCAGACACAUGGGAAACUGGAAUUUGAUUACAGAAUCCAAGACGUGCGUAGCAUGAGCUCAUAGUCCCUUUAUUCUUAGUACCAGCCGGGCCCUGAUGAGAACAUGUGCCUACUCUUGGGCUUAAGGAAGGGCAGACUCUCAAACUCUGAGGCAGGGCACUGCCAGUAGAAAGGCAAUGUGAAACACACAGGCAGUUUAAAAUGUCCUAGCAGCCACAGUGAAACAGAAUAUAUGAGUUGAUUUUAAUAAUGUUUGCUGUUUCACCCAAUAGAAU